GUGAAGGCCAGAGGUGAGACUCCACACCAGGUGCAGCAUCACGCAGCUCUGUCCAGCAGUAGCCUCUUGCAUACAGUGCCUGGUCUCGGGUGAAGUUGUGGGGUGUGUAACAGUAUAUGGACUCCUCUGAGGAUGGAAGAAAUCCCGCAGCACAGCGCAGGUAGUCCAUGGCAACAGGAAAGAGAUUUCCGAGGUACAAAGAGAAUCCAGAAGUGAUGAGAAGACUGCCCUGCGGUCACAUUCACAUAUUCAGUUUCUGGGCCAGACGCACUCACUGCAAAUGCCAAACAUGAGUGGAAGUGGAGAAAGUACCAUCAUGUCAUCAUGUGGCUCAAUCAGGAAUAUUAUACUUCGUCAGGAGAUGAGAUGCUUGCUUUUAUUUUGGUGGCCUUUCAUUCACAGCAUCAGUUGCCUGACCACACACAUGCGAUUAAUUUUCAAGAGGGGCCGGUAGAGAACAAAAACAGGCCUGUCCUUUCUGUGUGCCACUUGAUUCUUCCCUACUCCAUCACUUCUCUUAACAGGUCUACGUCUCCUUUUGUGAACUGGCUUGUGAGAACACAAGACAGUCCAUCAAUUGAUGAUGCAGAAAUGAGGUCAUGACACCUUUGAUUGAGCAAGGAGUAGUCGUAGCUGAGAUGGGAGGAGAAACUGAUUAGGCAUGAUUCAAUAGGAUGGGUUUUCAAUAUAUUAUUUUGGCUUUUCCAAAAACAAAAGACAUACAGUGAAGAAUAUAAG
This is a long non-coding RNA of Syngnathoides biaculeatus (alligator pipefish), 738 nucleotides long. RefSeq lists it as uncharacterized. The transcript has 3 exons. NCBI's taxonomy places the organism in Eukaryota, Metazoa, Chordata, Actinopteri, Syngnathiformes, Syngnathidae. The record is from RefSeq and is a predicted model, not a curated record.